RNAcentral lists this ribosomal RNA (459 nucleotides) under Triticum aestivum (bread wheat). RNAcentral describes it as "partial small subunit ribosomal RNA". The record is from RNAcentral. Lineage: Eukaryota; Viridiplantae; Streptophyta; Magnoliopsida; Poales; Poaceae.
AUGAUUCAUGGCCGGUCGGGGAUGGUCACCUGCGGUGAGCACGAGUACCUCCUCCAUAUCCUCCCUAUACUAGCACCCUUGGCGAUGAAAAUGACGGCCAGGAGAAUCCCUCCUUCACACCUUUUUUCCAUCUCUGUCAGAUUGUCCUCUCCAGCAAGCCCGAAGGCCAACCUUAAUACUGGACCUCGAGAGGGGCAUGUGGUCAACCAUGCCGGAGGACGCAGAGGAGUUGUUUGGGAAUGUUAUCAUCAGAGGACCCAAGAAGCAGCCCACCACGGAUGCAUGGACCAACCACACAAGUCCAUUCUUGCAAUCCAUCUGUGGCGAGGGUUCAUGACAGACAAGCCAAUAGAUUUGGGGGUCCACUUCCCGGUGAAACAAAUGUUCAUUGCGGACAAUACAAAGACGAUGAUUGGUACAAUGAGGAUGCAAGGUUGCACCUUCGAGCUCAAAAUUUGA